RNAcentral lists this ribosomal RNA (517 nucleotides) under uncultured bacterium. Its description in RNAcentral is "bacterial SSU rRNA". It matches the Rfam family "Bacterial small subunit ribosomal RNA", at positions 791 to 1304 of the family's 1533-position model. The record is from RNAcentral.
UAGUCCACGCCGUAAACGAUGUCAACUAGCCGUCGGGCUCAAUAUAAGGGUUUGGUGGCGAAGCUAACGCACUAAGCACACCGCCUGGGGAGUACGGUCGCAAGAUUAAAACUCAAAGGAAUUGACGGGGACCCGCACAAGCGGUGGAGCAUGUUGUUUAAUUCGACGCAACGCGAAGAACCUUACCUACACUUGGCAUACUCGUCGGGGAUUACAGAGAUGUUUUCCUUCGGUUCGGCCGGACGAUGUACAGGUGCUGCACGGCUGUCGUCAGCUCGUGUCGUGAGAUGUUUGGUUAAGUCCAGCAACGAGCGCAACCCCUAUCGUAUGUUACCAGCAUUUAGUUGGGGACUCAUGCGAGACUGCCGGUGUUAAGCCGGAGGAAGGUGGGGACGACGUCAAGUCAUCAUGGCCCUUACGUGUAGGGCUACAAACGUGCUACAAUGGAUACUACAGUGGGCAGCAACGUCGCGAGGCGGAGCUAAUCCCAAAAAGUAUUCUCAGUCCGGAUAGGACU